GAUUUAGCAGAAAUCAAAGAGUGU
RNAcentral lists this non-coding RNA (24 nucleotides) under Arabidopsis thaliana (thale cress). Lineage: Eukaryota; Viridiplantae; Streptophyta; Magnoliopsida; Brassicales; Brassicaceae. The record is from RNAcentral.